AUUAGCUAGUUGGUAUGGUAACGGCAUACCAAGGCUAUGAUGGGUAGGGGUCCUGAGAGGGAGAUCCCCCACACUGGUACUGAGACACGGACCAGACUCCUACGGGAGGCAGCAGUGAGGAAUAUUGGUCAAUGGUCGCAAGACUGAACCAGCCAUGCCGCGUGCAGGAAGACGGUCCUAUGGAUUGUAAACUGCUUUUAUACAGGAAGAAACCCUCUCACGUGUGGGAGCUUGACGGUACUGUAUGAAUAAGCAUCGGCUAACUCCGUGCCAGCAGCCGCGGUAAUACGGAGGAUGCGAGCGUUAUCCGGAAUCAUUGGGUUUAAAGGGUCCGUAGGCGGUUUAAUAAGUCAGUGGUGAAAUCUGGUCGCUCAACGAUCAAACUGCCAUUGAUACUGUUAGACUUGAAUAAUUGUGAAGUAACUAGAAUAUGUAGUGUAGCGGUGAAAUGCUUAGAUAUUACAUGGAAUACCAAUUGCGAAGGCAGGUUACUAACAAUUUAUUGACGCUGAUGGACGAAAGCGUGGGGAGCGAACAGGAUUAGAUACCCUGGUAGUCCACGCCGUAAACGAUGGAUACUAGCUGUUCGGAGUAAUCUGAGUGGCUAAGCGAAAGUGAUAAGUAUCCCACCUGGGGAGUACGCACGCAAGUGUGAAACUCAAAGGAAUUGACGGGGGCCCGCACAAGCGGUGGAGCAUGUGGUUUAAUUCGAUGAUACGCGAGGAACCUUACCAGGGCUUAAAUGGGAGUGGACAGCUUAGGAAACUAGGCCUUCUUCGGACCACUUUCAAGGUGCUGCAUGGUUGUCAUCAGCUCGUGCCGUGAGGUGUCAGGUUAAGUCCUAUAACGAGCGCAACCCCUGUCGUUAGUUGCCAGCGAGUCAUGUCGGGAACUCUAACGAGACUGCCGGUGUAAACCGUGAGGAAGGUGGGGAUGACGUCAAAUCAUCACGGCCCUUACGUCCUGGGCCACACACGUGCUACAAUGGCCAGUACAGAGAGCAGCCACUUAGCGAUAAGGAGCGAAUCUUCAAAACUGGUCUCAGUUCGGAUUGGAGUCUGCAACUCGACUCUAUGAAGCUGGAAUCGCUAGUAAUCGGAUAUCAGCCAUGAUCCGGUGAAUACGUUCCCGGGCCUUGUACACACCGCCCGUCAAGCCAUGGAAGCUGGGGGUACCUGAAGUCGGUGACCGUAAGGAGCUGCCUAGGGU
Molecule: ribosomal RNA, 1209 nt
Filed under: uncultured bacterium
Lineage: Bacteria
Description: bacterial SSU rRNA
Rfam family: Bacterial small subunit ribosomal RNA
Source: RNAcentral